GCCCACGUAGCUCAGCUGGAUAGAGCAACGGUUUCCUAAACCGUAGGUCAUGUGUUCAAAUCACAUCGUGGGUACAA
RNAcentral lists this transfer RNA (77 nucleotides) under Ignavibacteriales bacterium CG_4_9_14_3_um_filter_30_11. RNAcentral describes it as "tRNA-Arg". It matches the Rfam family "tRNA". From Rfam's summary of the family: Transfer RNA (tRNA) molecules are approximately 80 nucleotides in length. Their secondary structure includes four short double-helical elements and three loops (D, anti-codon, and T loops). The record is from RNAcentral. Lineage: Bacteria; Pseudomonadati; Ignavibacteriota; Ignavibacteria; Ignavibacteriales.